UAACGUAUAGCUUAGUUGGUCAGAGCGCGUGGACGGUUUCUAAGAGACGCAGGUUCAAAUCCCGCUACGUUAA
This 73-nucleotide transfer RNA is filed under the name Heliconius melpomene (postman butterfly). RNAcentral describes it as "tRNA HMEL005545". It matches the Rfam family "tRNA". From Rfam's summary of the family: Transfer RNA (tRNA) molecules are approximately 80 nucleotides in length. Lineage: Eukaryota; Metazoa; Arthropoda; Insecta; Lepidoptera; Nymphalidae. The record is from RNAcentral.